Dendronephthya gigantea is the source of this 1941-nucleotide RNA transcript. It is a transcript of the gene named formylglycine-generating enzyme-like, with no coding region annotated. The record is from RefSeq and is a predicted model, not a curated record. Lineage: Eukaryota; Metazoa; Cnidaria; Anthozoa; Malacalcyonacea; Nephtheidae. The transcript is spliced from 9 exons.
UUCGCCUUGCUCUAUUCUCUGAGCCAUUGCUUUUGACCCCAAGUUGCUUUGCUCUUUACAUCUUUUAAAAUGUGUAUAAGAUAGUAAGAACAAAAAUAAAUGGCGUGUUUAGGCCGGUGUUUAAACAAUGCAUUUCACUUCUCACGCCGAGAUGAAAAUUGAAAAAUGCAGUAAUCCAUUUAAAAAGAAACAGGGGGGAGUGACCAGACUCAGAAUUGAGCCUCUGUGGUAAUAACUAUGGUUGUUCACGAUAAAAACGAUAAAUAAUAUAUUGAAUUUCGAUUUCGGAUACUGUUCCUUUAGCAACUUGAUAAGAAGAAUGUUUUAAAGAUGUAAAAUAUUCUUUACAACUUUAUUAAAAGGAUAUAACUGUGUAUUUCUUGCGCUGACCGUAUUUCAAGUAACCAGAGCAAUGUUCGUUCUUGCAAUUUGCAUACUGCUCUUUUCUUGUGUCAUUUCAACUGAGGAUAGCGCCUCACUGUCAAAUGAUUGUAACGAUGCAACCGUAGGAGAUUGUGGGUGUUCAAAAACCUCUCGAGCUGAUAGCAUAGUUAAAAAGUCAGAAAAACUGGACAAUCCUGAAAAGAAUAAGUGGACAGAACCAAACGUUUUCCAUAGCAACCCAGAACAUAUUCAUGGCCUUAAGUAUAGUUCAAUGGUACUUUUAAAAGGUGAGACAUUUCUGAUGGGAACUGAUAACCCAAAAAUUGUAUCUGAUGGUGAGGGUCCAGCAAGAGCUGUUAAGCUGGGUGCAUUUCAUAUGGAUCAAUAUGAAGUUAGCAAUCAUGAUUUUGGAAUUUUUGUUAAUAAGACUGGUUAUGUCACUGAGGCAGAAAAGUUUGGCACCUCAUUUGUCCUUGAAAGCAAACUGAAUGAAGACAUAAAAAGAAGAAUUACCCAAGCAGUUGCUGGUUCUCCUUGGUGGCUACCAGUUGAAGGAGCAAAUUGGAAACAUCCAGAAGGUCUGGGAUCUAGUAUCAUGUCAAGAUUAGAUCAUCCUGUUCUACAUGUGUCAUGGAAUGAUGCAAUGGCAUAUUGUACAUGGCUUGGUAAACGACUCCCUACUGAAGCAGAAUGGGAAUUUGCUUGUCGUGGUGGAUUGCAGAAAAAGAUGUUUCCCUGGGGAAACACUUUCAAAGUGAAAGGAAAACAUCAAUGUAAUACUUGGCAAGGUGAUUUUCCAAGCAGUGACAAGGGUGAGGAUGGUCAUGAUGGACCAGCACCUGUGUGGACAUUCAAACAGAAUAAUUUUGAUCUUCAUAAUAUGGUUGGUAACGUUUGGGAGUGGACAGCUGAUUGGUGGGGCAUCAGACACACCAAAGAAUUCUACGAAAAUCCUGUUGGCCCUAGUUUCGGUAAAGACAAAGUAAAGAAAGGAGGAUCUUACAUGUGUCAUAAGUCAUUCUGCUACAGAUACAGAUGUGCUGCCAGAGGUAAAAACACACCAGAUAGCUCCGCAUCAAACCUUGGUUUUCGUUGUGCAAAGGAUUCAUAACCUGUUAUUAGAUCUCCACUGAAUAAAACCUAUUGAUUGAAAAGAUUAGUUAAUGGAGGAUAGUUUUAGGGAGCAGUGGAAUCAUACCAAUGGUGCCAACUAAUUAGCCCAGCCAGCAUGUUGUCCAAAGAGCUCACGAAAAUGAUCACCUGGAGCAGAUAAAUUUAAAUAAUCUGGUCAAAAAAAGUAUUAGCUGGCAAUACAAAUAUAUAUAUAAUGCUGGCAAUAUAUAUGUAUAUAUAUGUAGCUCAUCAAUUCAUUGGUAACUAUUAAGACAUGUCAACAUUACCUGCAGAGCUACCGUAACAAAGUACUUCAGUAAAAAUUCAUGCCAAUUACAAAAAUGAUUUUAUUCCAACAACUUACCGAUGGCUUUGUAAGCUUUGUUUGUCAAAGUUUUGCUCUUUUUUAACUCUGAGAUAUUAUAAUCUCUGCAUGAUAUCUGC